UCAGAUUAACAUGAGCAUAUCACAGUGAUUAGCAGGAACAUUAUUGGGUAAAGAAAAGUGAUCAAGGACACAACUUGCCUGAGACUUGAGAUUCCAGGUACCACGAUGGCCUUCAAGUGACUCGUAACCUCGCUACUAAUCGUAGCAAUACAAACAAACAUGGCAUAGGCAAAAUUAACAUCACAUCAAAUAUAAGCACAAACUGCAUAAUAAUGACCUACGCGUCGCUACGAGAUCGUAGGUUCGAGAACGGCUAAAAUCGUAGUUACGGUUAAAAAAAGAUAUAAUAUUCCCAAGUUAAUGGUUAAACAUUAAAUUUUUUUUCUUUAUAGAUUAAUAUAAGUCAAAAAUGUUAUGACAAAAAACUAGUUUAUCUUUAAUUUAGUUUAUAAUUCGACUAGAGGUUAUAUUUUAGUCACACUACUAUUAUGGAUAUAUUAACUUUGUUUAGAAGGUUUAAUUCAUUGAGCAUAGGUUAAAUGAAUAUUUAUUUUUGAAACCAUGUUAUUUGAUAAAGUAAUGUUACAGAGACGUAGGCAACAUUAUUACAAAGCUAACACAAUUUGAAUGGAGUAAAACGAUAUUAAAAUGAACAAGAUAUAAUUUAUCUAGAUUUUUAUUCAUUUUUAUAUUAAUUUUACACUCUAAAAUGGUCUGCCAGGGUUUAAUCGUAAAUUCCCAGGGACCUAGAUGUGAGGAUCCCCAUCCGACGAGGGACGAUGGGUUUAAUACUACGAAAUCUGAGGUCCCUUUUGCAAUUGCACCCAGACGAAAGGGUAUGGUUAUUUCUCGGUUGUUGGAUCACCAAUCUACGGAUCGGAUUAGAUCAGGCUCCCCAUGAAGAGGUAUGGAGUGACAUCCGUCUGAUCAACUAUCGGUAUCCUGGAUUUAAAAUCACCUUAUCGACACUGAACCGUUCACCCACGGAUUAACGCGCCAGAUCUGCCUGCCCGAACAUGAUGCCUACGGUCAACGGAUCCAUGAUCUACGGCCAGAAAGCCCUUUUCUUCCUUGAACUACACCCGCCCUUGGAUUCAAAGCCUAUGGCCCCGAUCAAUUACCCGAAACGACAUCCUAGGUUUUAAUCAGGGUCAUAGCCACAAGAUCAGACAGUUGCGAGCCCAUCACCUACCCGUGGCGGCCCCAAACGGUGGCGUACAGGACACCCACAGCGGAGCGCUCACUAGAGCUGUGCCCGCCAGCGCUCCAAAGCACUACCUGCUAAUACGAAAGGUGCUACACGCAAUAGAGACGAAGACCGAAGACAAAACAAUUAGGGCCAUUCUUACCAGUUGUAUGGUUGUGGUGAUGCCGACCCACAGUGAGAGCGGGCGCACCACCGAGGGAUAGUUCCGGUGAGCGAUUCCUGUGGCUCAGAGCACAAUUCCGCCCAGGCAUUGCUUCAACGAGCUUCGAUAUGCCCUAGCGAUCAUCUAUGGCCACGCCACGGACACCGAUCGACGGUGGCGGUGUUGGACCCCAGCCAGUGCGGCUCAAGCGCACGGUGAAGAUCCUGUCGACGAAUUCCACGCGCCCGAAAGUUCCUUGUUUCCAAUUGACAGGUCUGGGAGAACCAAUACAUACAGGUGAACUACCAUGGCUCUUACUCGAUCGCCAAUUGGGGGUGUGGGUGGGUGGGUGGCGGACUGGAUCGCUCCUCCUAGCGCUAAUGGCGGCUCGACACAAUCUC
RNAcentral lists this long non-coding RNA (1690 nucleotides) under Zea mays. RNAcentral describes it as "long non-coding RNA (ZMAY_LNC003011)". The record is from RNAcentral. Lineage: Eukaryota; Viridiplantae; Streptophyta; Magnoliopsida; Poales; Poaceae.